CAGCCGCCACGGUAAUACGGAGGGAGCUAGCGUUGUUCGGAAUUACUGGGCGUAAAGCGCGCGUAGGCGGUUACUCAAGUCAGAGGUGAAAGCCCGGGGCUCAACCCCGGAACUGCCUUUGAAACUAGGUGACUAGAAUCUUGGAGAGGUCAGUGGAAUUCCGAGUGUAGAGGUGAAAUUCGUAGAUAUUCGGAAGAACACCAGUGGCGAAGGCGACUGACUGGACAAGUAUUGACGCUGAGGUGCGAAAGCGUGGGGAGCAAACAGGAUUAGAUACCCCGGUAGUCCUUGUCUCUUAUAC
Molecule: ribosomal RNA, 301 nt
Filed under: uncultured bacterium
Lineage: Bacteria
Description: partial 16S ribosomal RNA
Rfam family: Bacterial small subunit ribosomal RNA
Source: RNAcentral